RNAcentral lists this ribosomal RNA (306 nucleotides) under Triticum aestivum (bread wheat). RNAcentral describes it as "partial small subunit ribosomal RNA". The record is from RNAcentral. Lineage: Eukaryota; Viridiplantae; Streptophyta; Magnoliopsida; Poales; Poaceae.
AUGUUCAUGAUUUUGGAAAAAGUAUUGUCUAUUUUAGAAAAUGUUUGGAACAUCAUACAAUAUACCCGUAUUACAAACAUGUUUCUGUAUUUACAUAAAUGUUUGCAAAUCCAAAAAGAAUCCAUGAAAAAAAGUUCACAUAUUCAAAAAAAUCUUCAUGAAUUCAGAAAAUCUAUAAAAUUCCAUCAAAUGCUCAUGAUUUCAGAAUGUGUUCAGGAAUUUAGAAAAAAGCUCCCGAGUUUGAAAGACAAACCUGAAAUCCUAAAAAUUGUUCAAGAGAUUGUAAGAAAAAUUCUUGAAUUUUAA